GAGAGUUUGAUCCUGGCUCAGGACGAACGCUGGCGGCGUGCUAAACACAUGCAAGUCGAACGAGAAUCUGUGGAUCGAGGAUUCGUCCAAGUGAAGCAGAGGACAGUGGCGGACGGGUGAGUAACGCGUGAGGAACCUGCCUUUCAGAGGGGGACAACAGUUGGAAACGACUGCUAAUACCGCAUGAUACAUUUGGGUGGCAUCAUCUGAAUGUCAAAGAUUUAUCGCUGAAAGAUGGCCUCGCGUCUGAUUAGCUGGUUGGUGAGGUAACGGCCCACCAAGGCGACGAUCAGUAGCCGGACUGAGAGGUUGACCGGCCACAUUGGGACUGAGAUACGGCCCAGACUCCUACGGGAGGCAGCAGUGGGGAAUAUUGGGCAAUGGGCGCAAGCCUGACCCAGCAACGCCGCGUGAAGGAAGAAGGCUUUCGGGUUGUAAACUUCUUUUAAGAGGGAAGAGCAGAAGACUGUACCUCUAGAAUAAGCCACGGCUAACUACGUGCCAGCAGCCGCGGUAAUACGUAGGUGGCAAGCGUUGUCCGGAUUUACUGGGUGUAAAGGGCGUGCAGCCGGGAAUGCAAGUCAGAUGUGAAAUCCAUGGGCUUAACCCAUGAACUGCAUUUGAAACUGUAUUUCUUGAGUACUGGAGAGGCAAUCGGAAUUCCUAGUGUAGCGGUGAAAUGCGUAGAUAUUAGGAGGAACACCAGUGGCGAAGGCGGAUUGCUGGACAGCAACUGACGGUGAGGCGCGAAAGUGUGGGGAGCAAACAGGAUUAGAUACCCUGGUAGUCCACACUGUAAACGAUGAAUACUAGGUGUGCGGGGACUGACCCCCUGCGUGCCGCAGUUAACACAAUAAGUAUUCCACCUGGGGAGUACAAUCGCAAGGUUGAAACUCAAAGGAAUUGACGGGGGCCCGCACAAGCGGUGGAUUAUGUGGUUUAAUUCGAAGCAACGCGAAGAACCUUACCAGGGUUUGACAUCCUGCUAACGAAGUAGAGAUACAUUAGGUGCCCUUCGGGGAAAGCAGAGACAGGUGGUGCAUGGUUGUCGUCAGCUCGUGUCGUGAGAUGUUGGGUUAAGUCCCGCAACGAGCGCAACCCCUAUUGUUAGUUGCUACGCAAGAGCACUCUAGCGAGACUGCCGUUGACAAAACGGAGGAAG
RNAcentral lists this ribosomal RNA (1162 nucleotides) under uncultured Clostridia bacterium. Its description in RNAcentral is "bacterial SSU rRNA". It matches the Rfam family "Bacterial small subunit ribosomal RNA", at positions 8 to 1172 of the family's 1533-position model. Lineage: Bacteria; Bacillati; Bacillota; Clostridia. The record is from RNAcentral.